CCCCGCUGGCUCAAGGUUUUCUAUCCGUCCACUUACCUCUCCCACUGGCGUGCACGGCGAGUGCGAUGGCAACGGCCAGUGGCCACUGGUGGCUAAAGCUGACUUGAUGCAUGUGUUAUGGAAGAUGAAACGUGAGGCAGCGGAGAGCUGGGGAUGCUAAUGUUGAUUUGCUCUGCACCAUUCCUCCAACGUGGAGAUCAGCAACGAGGGCAGGAACAAGCUUUGUGUACUCAAAAGGGACUUCACUUUCCUGAAUUUCUGAAUGCUUCACUCAAUUUGAUUCAGAUUAUGUGUGGCACUGACCGUAAUGCCCCUCUUUUGGAUUCAGUGUGAGGACACAAGCAGCUGGUGGUUAAGCUGGUUUGUACCAGCUGAGAGUCUGAGCUCCCAUGGUGUCUCACUCCGUGAAGAUCAUGGAGCUCAUUGCCAGAGCCAUUGUCGAGCCGUAGUUCAUCAGCUAGGGGCAGAGGAGGUCAUCACAAUAAUCUUUUGUGGCGCCUCCUCUAUUGUUUUACUUACUGUAAUUUCAGCUGUAAGAUUCGUAUGUGCAAAUCCAUGUAUGCCUUUUCUUUAAAGUUUAGUGUAAAUAGUUGCCCCUAUAUGUCAUACUGAUUCAUAACCUUUCUGAUAUCUGAAACGUAUUUUUAAUUUUGUUACAACAAUUGGGCCACCUUAUAUGUAGUCGUAUAUACAACAUUAAAUUGAUUUAGUUGUGGUUAAUUGUGACCAAUCCCCCAAAGAGUUUU
This is a long non-coding RNA of Panicum virgatum (switchgrass), 746 nucleotides long. RefSeq lists it as uncharacterized. The record is from RefSeq and is a predicted model, not a curated record. NCBI's taxonomy places the organism in Eukaryota, Viridiplantae, Streptophyta, Magnoliopsida, Poales, Poaceae. The transcript is spliced from 3 exons.